This 164-nucleotide ribosomal RNA is filed under the name uncultured bacterium. RNAcentral describes it as "partial 16S rRNA". It matches the Rfam family "Bacterial small subunit ribosomal RNA", at positions 355 to 511 of the family's 1533-position model. The record is from RNAcentral.
UAGGGAAUCUUCCACAAUGGACGCGAGUCUGAUGGAGCAACGCCGCGUGAGUGAAGAAGGUCUUCGGAUCGUAAAACUCUGUUGUUAGAGAAGAACACGAGUGAGAGUAACUGUUCAUUCGAUGACGGUAUCUAACCAGCAAGUCACGGCUAACUACGUGCUAG